Small nuclear RNA from Corchorus capsularis, 153 nucleotides. It matches the Rfam family "U12 minor spliceosomal RNA". Rfam says of the family: Although the U12 sequence is very divergent from that of U2, the two are functionally analogous. Lineage: Eukaryota; Viridiplantae; Streptophyta; Magnoliopsida; Malvales; Malvaceae. The record is from Rfam.
UUGCCUUAAACUAAUGAGUAAGGAAAACAAAGCGAGUGGUGGGAGCCGCUUGCCGCGCCCAAUCUUUGGUGUGCAAGAAUUUAUGGAGGGGUUAUAGGCUGGCCGAGCGCUGACGCUGCCUACUUGUGCAGAACUCGCUCGAGCGGGCCUCCC